Streptomyces sp. CB02488 is the source of this 75-nucleotide non-coding RNA. It matches the Rfam family "ASpks TB sRNA". NCBI's taxonomy places the organism in Bacteria, Bacillati, Actinomycetota, Actinomycetes, Kitasatosporales, Streptomycetaceae. The record is from Rfam.
CUUGACCGAGCCCAGCCACAGCGGGUUCUCCCUCGCUCCCGACUGCCCGUAGGCCGCCAGGAAGGCCUCGGCCUC